RNAcentral lists this ribosomal RNA (492 nucleotides) under uncultured bacterium. RNAcentral's name for it is "partial 16S ribosomal RNA". It matches the Rfam family "Bacterial small subunit ribosomal RNA", at positions 29 to 507 of the family's 1533-position model. The record is from RNAcentral.
AGUGAACGCUGGCGGUAGACCUAACACAUGCAAGUCGAACGGCAGCACAGUAAGAGCUUGCUCUUACGGGUGGCGAGUGGCGGACGGGUGAGGAAUACAUCGGAAUCUACUUUUUCGUGGGGGAUAACGUAGGGAAACUUACGCUAAUACCGCAUACGACCUACGGGUGAAAGCAGGGGAUCUUCGGACCUUGCGCGAUUGAAUGAGCCGAUGUCGGAUUAGCUAGUUGGCGGGGUAAAGGCCCACCAAGGCGACGAUCCGUAGCUGGUCUGAUAGGAUGAUCAGCCACAAUGGAACUGAGACACGGUCAAGACUCCUACAGGAGGCAGCAGUGGGGAAUAUUGGACAAUGGGCGCAAGCCUGAUCCAGCCAUACCGCGUGGAUGAAGAAGGCCUUCGGGUUGUAAAGCCCUUUUGUUGGGAAAGAAAAGCAGCAGGUUAAUACCCCGCUGUUCUGACGGUACCCAAAGAAUAAGCACCGGCUAACUUCGUG